CCCUUAGAUGUCCUGGGCCGCACGCGCGCUACACUGAUGCAUGCAACGAGUUUAUAACCUCGGCCUGAAAGGUCUGGGUAAUCUUUUGAACGUGCAUCGUGAUAGGGAUAGAUUAUUGCAAUUGUUAAUCUUGAACGAGGAAUUCCUAGUAAACGCGAGUCAUCAGCUCGCAUUGAUUACGUCCCUGCCCUUUGUACACACCGCCCGUCGCACCUACCGAUUGAAUGGUUCGGUGAAGAUCUCGGACUUCGAUAUUUAUUCUUUAUUGAGUUUAUAUUGUGGGAAGUUAUCUAAACCUCAUCAUUUAGAGGAAGGUGAAGUCGUAACA
Molecule: ribosomal RNA, 328 nt
Filed under: uncultured eukaryote
Lineage: Eukaryota
Description: partial 18S ribosomal RNA
Rfam family: Eukaryotic small subunit ribosomal RNA
Source: RNAcentral